AGAAGACGCCGUUCAGGUUGACUUCGAUCAGCCUGCGCCAAUCUUCGAGCGGGUAGUCCGCGGUCGCUUGGCGCGGGCCCUCU
This 83-nucleotide small RNA is filed under the name Sinorhizobium meliloti 2011. RNAcentral describes it as "putative ncRNA". The record is from RNAcentral. Lineage: Bacteria; Pseudomonadati; Pseudomonadota; Alphaproteobacteria; Hyphomicrobiales; Rhizobiaceae.